GACGAACGCUGGCGGCGUGCCUAAUACAUGCAAGUUGAGCGCUGAAGGUUGGUACUUGUACCAACUGGAUGAGCAGCGAACGGGUGAGUAACGCGUGGGGAAUCUGCCUUUGAGCGGGGGACAACAUUUGGAAACGAAUGCUAAUACCGCAUAAAAACUUUAAACACAAGUUUUAAGUUUGAAAGAUGCAAUUGCAUCACUCAAAGAUGAUCCCGCGUUGUAUUAGCUAGUUGGUGAGGUAAAGGCUCACCAAGGCGAUGAUACAUAGCCGACCUGAGAGGGUGAUCGGCCACAUUGGGACUGAGACACGGCCCAAACUCCUACGGGAGGCAGCAGUAGGGAAUCUUCGGCAAUGGACGAAAGUCUGACCGAGCAACGCCGCGUGAGUGAAGAAGGUUUUCGGAUCGUAAAACUCUGUUGGUAGAGAAGAACGUUGGUGAGAGUGGAAAGCUCAUCAAGUGACGGUAACUACCCAGAAAGGGACGGCUAACUACGUGCCAGCAGCCGCGGUAAUACGUAGGUCCCGAGCGUUGUCCGGAUUUAUUGGGCGUAAAGCGAGCGCAGGUGGUUUAUUAAGUCUGGUGUAAAAGGCAGUGGCUCAACCAUUGUAUGCGUUGGAAACUGGUAGACUUGAGUGCAGGAGAGGAGAGUGGAAUUC
RNAcentral lists this ribosomal RNA (658 nucleotides) under uncultured Lactococcus sp. RNAcentral's name for it is "bacterial SSU rRNA". It matches the Rfam family "Bacterial small subunit ribosomal RNA", at positions 28 to 669 of the family's 1533-position model. The record is from RNAcentral. Lineage: Bacteria; Bacillati; Bacillota; Bacilli; Lactobacillales; Streptococcaceae.